Molecule: non-coding RNA, 22 nt
Filed under: Arabidopsis thaliana (thale cress)
Lineage: Eukaryota; Viridiplantae; Streptophyta; Magnoliopsida; Brassicales; Brassicaceae
Source: RNAcentral
UCCCCUACAAGUCAUCUAGGGC